This 468-nucleotide ribosomal RNA is filed under the name uncultured bacterium. Its description in RNAcentral is "partial 16S ribosomal RNA". It matches the Rfam family "Bacterial small subunit ribosomal RNA", at positions 28 to 507 of the family's 1533-position model. The record is from RNAcentral.
GACGAACGCUGGCGGCGUGCUUAACACAUGCAAGUCGAACGGAAAGGCCCUGCUUUUGUGGGGUGCUCGAGUGGCGAACGGGUGAGUAACACGUGAGUAACCUGCCCUUGACUUUGGGAUAACUUCAGGAAACUGGGGCUAAUACCGGAUAGGAGCUCCUGCUGCAUGGUGGGGGUUGGAAAGUUUCGGCGGUUGGGGAUGGACUCGCGGCUUAUCAGCUUGUUGGUGGGGUAGUGGCUUACCAAGGCUUUGACGGGUAGCCGGCCUGAGAGGGUGACCGGCCACAUUGGGACUGAGAUACGGCCCAGACUCCUACGGGAGGCAGCAGUGGGGAAUAUUGCACAAUGGGCGGAAGCCCGAUGCAGCAACGCCGCGUGCGGGAUGAUGGCCUUCGGGUUGUAAACCGCUUUCGCCUGUGACGAAGCGUGAGUGACGGUAAUGGGUAAAGAAGCACCGGCUAACUACGUG